AACCAAAGGGGGCGAGCGUAAGCAGCUCUCACCGAAGGAGGAGCCUGCGUCCAAUUAGCUAGUUGGUGGGGUAAUGGCCUACCAAGGCGACGAUCGGUGGCCGGCCUGAGAGGGCGAUCGGCCACACUGGAACUGAGACACGGUCCAGACUCCUACGGGAGGCAGCAGUGGGGAAUAUUGCGCAAUGGGCGAAAGCCUGACGCAGCGACGCCGCGUGGGUGAUGAAGGCCUUCGGGUCGUAAAGCCCUGUCUGGUGGAACGAAACGCCUGGCGGCCAAUACCCGCUGGGUUUGACGGUACCACCGAAGGAAGCCCCGGCUAACUACGUGCCAGCAGCCGCGGUAAGACGUAGGGGGCGAGCGUUGUUCGGAUUUACUGGGCGUAAAGCGCGCGUAGGCGGCCAGAUAAGUCGGGUGUGAAAGCCCUCGGCUCAACCGAGGUUCCGCAUCCGAUACUGCUUGGCUGGAGUCUAGGAGAGGAGAGCGGAAUUCCCAGUGUAGCGGUGAAAUGCGUAGAUAUUGGGAGGAACACCCGUGGCGAAGGCGGCUCUCUGGACUAGUACUGACGCUGAGGCGCGAAAGCUAGGGGAGCGAACGGGAUUAGAUACCCCGGUAGUCCUAGCCGUAAACGAUGGGCACUAGGUGUGGGAGGUAUUGACCCCUUCCGCGCCGAAGCUAACGCAUUAAGUGCCCCGCCUGGGGAGUACGGCCGCAAGGCUAAAACUCAAAGGAAUUGACGGGGGCCCGCACAAGCGGUGGAGCAUGUGGUUCAAUUCGACGCAACGCGAAGAACCUUACCAGGGCUUGACAUCCCACGAACCUGCCUGAAAGGGCGGGGUGCCCGCAAGGGAGCGCGGAGA
RNAcentral lists this ribosomal RNA (859 nucleotides) under uncultured Methylomirabilota bacterium. RNAcentral's name for it is "bacterial SSU rRNA". It matches the Rfam family "Bacterial small subunit ribosomal RNA", at positions 199 to 1034 of the family's 1533-position model. Lineage: Bacteria; Methylomirabilota (SeqCode). The record is from RNAcentral.